AAGCUCGUAGUUGAAUUUCGGGAUCAAUAUUUCGGUCAUGCCGUUGGUAUGCACUGUUAUAAUUGAUUUCUCACCUUCUAAAGAACCGUAAUGCCAUUAAUUUAGUGUUACGGGGAAUUAGGACUGUUACCUUGAAAAAAUUAGAGUGUUUAAAGCAGGCUCACGCUUGAAUACAUUAGCAUGGAAUAAUGAAAUAGGACAUCCGAUUCUAUUUUGUUGGUUUCUAGGAUCGAUGUAAUGAUUAAUAGGGAUAGUUGGGGGCAUUAGUAUUCAAUUGUCAGAGGUGAAAUUCUUGGAUUUAUUGAAGACUAACUACUGCGAAAGCAUUUGCCAAGGAUGUUUUCAUUAAUCAAGAACGAAAGUUAGGGGAUCGAAGACGAUCAGAUACCGUCGUAGUCUUAACCAUAAACUAUGCCGACUAGGGAUCGGAUGAUGUUAAUUUUUUAAUGACUCAUUCGGCGCCUUUCGGGAAACCAAAGUGUUUGGGUUCCGGGGGGAGUAUGGUCGCAAGGCUGAAACUUAAAGGAAUUGACGGAAGGGCACCACCAGGGGUGGAGCCUGCGGCUUAAUUUGACUCAACACGGGGAAACUCACCAGGUCCAGUCAUAGUAAGGAUUGACAGAUUGAGAGCUCUUUCUUGAUUCUAUGGGUG
RNAcentral lists this ribosomal RNA (652 nucleotides) under uncultured Funneliformis. RNAcentral's name for it is "SSU rRNA". It matches the Rfam family "Eukaryotic small subunit ribosomal RNA", at positions 624 to 1276 of the family's 1831-position model. The record is from RNAcentral. Lineage: Eukaryota; Fungi; Glomeromycota; Glomeromycetes; Glomerales; Glomeraceae.